RNAcentral lists this ribosomal RNA (598 nucleotides) under uncultured bacterium. RNAcentral's name for it is "bacterial SSU rRNA". It matches the Rfam family "Bacterial small subunit ribosomal RNA", at positions 53 to 654 of the family's 1533-position model. The record is from RNAcentral.
ACAUGCAAGUCGAGCGAUGAUUCGCUCCUCGGAGGCGUUGAUUAGCGGCGGACGGGUGAGUAACACGUGGGUAACCUGCCUCAAAGAGGGGAAUAGCCUCCCGAAGAGGGAGAUUAAUACCGCAUAAUAUGUUUUAAUCGCAUGAUUGAGACAUCAAAGGAUUUUCUUCGGAACUUCCACUUUGAGAUGGACCCGCGGCGCAUUAGCUAGUUGGUGAGGUAACGGCCCACCAAUGCAACGAUGCGUAGCCGACCUGAGAGGGUGAUCGGACACAUUGGAACUGAGACACGGUCCAGACUCCUACGGGAGGCAGCAGUGGGGAAUAUUGCGCAAUGGGGGAAACCCUGACGCAGCAACGCCGCGUGAAUGAUGAAGGCCUUCGGGUUGUAAAGUUCUGUCUUCGGGGACGAUAAUGACGGUACCCGAGGAGGAAGCCACGGAUAACUACGUGCCAGCAGGCGCGGUAAUACGUAAGUGGCAAGCGUUGUACGGAUUUACUGGGCGUAAAGGAUGCGUAGGCGGACAUUUAAGUCAGAUGUGAAAUACCCGAGCUUAACUUGGGUGCUGCAUUUGAAACUGGGUGUCUAGAGUGCAAGAG